AUGACUUUAGUUAAUGAUAACCCCACUAUUUUGGAAGAGAGUCAACUUCGCAUGCAUGUGGAUCGUGUUGAGAAUAUGUUAUGUGAUAGCUAUUUUGUUGAAUUUUCUUAUGAUCCUACAUGUAAUUAUUAUGAGAGAGGAAAAUAUGGUUGUAGAAAUUUUCAUGUUACUAAAUUACCUCUCGUUAUGUUGAGAUUGCUAUUGUUUCUUUCCGCUUCCUUGCAUAUGCUAGUUUUUGCUUGCCUUGAUAAUUUGUUUGCCUACAAGAUGCCUAUGCAUAGGAAGUAUGUUAGACUUAGAUGUGUUUGUCACAUGUUUCAUGAUGUUCUCUUUGUGUUUUAA
This 342-nucleotide ribosomal RNA is filed under the name Triticum aestivum (bread wheat). RNAcentral describes it as "partial small subunit ribosomal RNA". The record is from RNAcentral. Lineage: Eukaryota; Viridiplantae; Streptophyta; Magnoliopsida; Poales; Poaceae.